RNAcentral lists this ribosomal RNA (201 nucleotides) under uncultured bacterium. Its description in RNAcentral is "partial 16S ribosomal RNA". It matches the Rfam family "Bacterial small subunit ribosomal RNA", at positions 524 to 723 of the family's 1533-position model. The record is from RNAcentral.
UACGGAGGGGGCUAGCGUUGUUCGGAAUUACUGGGCGUAAAGCGCACGUAGGCGGAUACUUAAGUCAGGGGUGAAAUCCCGGGGCUCAACCCCGGAACUGCCUUUGAUACUGGGUAUCUCGGAGUCCGGAAGAGGUGAGUGGAAUUCCGAGUGUAGAGGUGAAAUUCGUAGAUAUUGGGAAGAACACCGGUGGCGAAGGCG